This is a long non-coding RNA of Lagopus muta (rock ptarmigan), 1505 nucleotides long. RefSeq lists it as uncharacterized. The transcript has 2 exons. NCBI's taxonomy places the organism in Eukaryota, Metazoa, Chordata, Aves, Galliformes, Phasianidae. The record is from RefSeq and is a predicted model, not a curated record.
AUCUCUUUCUGGAGGUCCCUCCUUGGUGAAGUUUUUCCUUCAAACCAAGACUAUUCUGAUACAGGCAUGUAUGAAUUUAAGCGUGAAUGAUUUUUGGUGUUCCUUGAGGACUCCCACCAUCUUUUGCCUCUCCUAUGAUUGCUCUCCUCUCUCAUCCUCUCCACCAUCUCAUGUGUCACAGUCAUCCUUGGGAGCACUGAAGAUAGGACAUCCUGCCAGGGAGCCAUCAUCAGCACUGCCAUUUAACUGUCCGUCCUUGGGGCACCCAGAGAAAGCUGUGUGGUAGGUGCAGCAAGCACCGGGCGAGCUGCACCAGUGUCACAGAAAAUAUAGUCUGAAUCUCCCACCUGUCAGAGAAAGGACCUACCACCAGGCUACUGAGGCAGUCUGAUUGGCUGUGGCAAGAUAGAUUUGUUUUAACCCAUGAAAUUCCAGGCUAGGUUUGAACGUAGCAGCACACAAAGGUUCUUAGGAAUGCACUUAGUCUCAGAUGUUAUUCCUCAGUGAGCUUCAUCAUUUCUUGGUCAUAAUAUCAAGGAGAGAUAUAAUUAGAUUUAUAUUUAUGUGCUUUUUGCAACAUACAGGGUUAUUUUCUGUUCAUGCUAUUACUGCUUUGGGAGUAUAAACAAAACUGAUGAACACAUUAUUAUACCUUUAUGAGGGCAAGUUAUUCAAUGCAUGAAUGCUAGUGACACUUUCAGUACUGUGCUCACAAUGCUUAUUCUGAUCAUAAUGGUUUAAAUAAUACAUGAGCUCAUGCAUAUACAUACUGUAGCUCAGCUCUUUCAUUAAGAGCCUUGCUAAAUUUUCUCAGCUAGUCUUCCCCAGUGCUCAUGCAUUUUCAGGGUGAAAGUCCUUUUCUUUGUCACAGGCAGGUUGCAAAAUCUUGCUGAGAUAUCAUUUUAAAUUUGUUUGGAUCUGCAACCUAGUUUAACAAGGGCAACUUGCAGCCUUUGCUAUUCCUCCUGGGAGAAAAGAAGUGAAGCUUAUGUGAAGUGUUUCAAUGUAUGAAAAAGCCAUAUGAAAGGAAGAGUGGAAAAUUGGAUUCAGUAAUUAAGAUUUUUGUGUUGAGACUCCAGUGGUCUCUGUUCAGUUCCCCGGAGUUUCUACAGGAGUUUGGGCAAGUCACAUCAAUCUUUCUAAGCCUCUGUAAAGUAAGGGUAACAGUUUCCUCUUUUCUUCCCACUUUGUCUUAUUUGUCUCUAAGUUCUCAGGUAUGGAUUUCUUUUGAAUGUGUUUAUACCUUGCCUAGCAAACCAUGGCUUUGAAUGUAUUCAGGGACACUUUUUAAUAUAUACAAACCAAGUAUUAGCAAGUAAAAUACUUAUGAAUUUAUAUCUUCGGUACUCCAGUUCAGGAUAGUCACUUUUUAAACAAAUAUGUUGAAGAAUGUGUAUUUAUAGAGAAAGCUCUUGAUCCUAAUGUUUUUGGACAGAAAAGCAAGAUUCUGUGUUGAGAGCAGGACGGGAUCUGUGCAUUAAAUACAGCUGGCACAGAGAAAUGAA